GAAGGACCUGCACCUUCG
This 18-nucleotide microRNA is filed under the name Homo sapiens (human). Its description in RNAcentral is "hsa-miR-6816-3p". Lineage: Eukaryota; Metazoa; Chordata; Mammalia; Primates; Hominidae. The record is from miRBase by way of RNAcentral.